CGCGAAAGGGUCCUUCGGGGCCUGAGUAGAGCGGCGAACUGGUGAGUACAAGGUGAAUAACGUGCCCUUGAGUUGGGGAUAACCCCGGGAAACCGGGGCUAAUACCGGAUGGUCUCUUUGGUCUACGGACUGACGAGUAAAGCAGCAAUGCGCUCAAGGAUCGGUUCACCCCCCAUUAGCUAGUUGGUAGGGUAACAGCCUACCAAGGCUUCGAUGGGUAGCUGGACUGAGAGGUUGGCCAGCCACACUGGGACUGAGAUACGGCCCAGACUCCUACGGGGGGCAGCAGUCUAGAGGCUUCGUCAAUGCCCGAAAGGGUGAACGAGCGACGCCGCGUGCGGGAUGAAGGGCUUCGGCUUGUAAACCGCUUUUCUUUGGAAAGAACGUCCGGAUCGUGAAUCCGGACUUGACGGUACCAGGGGAAUAAGCCCCGGCUAACUCCGUGCCAGCAGCCGCGGUAAGACGGAGGGGGCAAGCGUUGUUCGGAAUUAUUGGGCGUAAAGGGCUCGUAGGCGGACCAGCAAGUCUGACGUGAAAUCUCCACUGCUCAACAGGGAGAGGCCGUUGGAUACUACUGAUCUUGAGUAUGGUAGAGGACCAUGGAAUUCCGCGUGUAGCGGUGGAAUGCGUAGAUAUGCGGAAGA
This 644-nucleotide ribosomal RNA is filed under the name uncultured bacterium. Its description in RNAcentral is "bacterial SSU rRNA". It matches the Rfam family "Bacterial small subunit ribosomal RNA", at positions 65 to 705 of the family's 1533-position model. The record is from RNAcentral.